Long non-coding RNA from Tympanuchus pallidicinctus (lesser prairie-chicken), 3503 nucleotides. RefSeq lists it as uncharacterized. The record is from RefSeq and is a predicted model, not a curated record. Lineage: Eukaryota; Metazoa; Chordata; Aves; Galliformes; Phasianidae. The transcript has 4 exons.
GCGAUCUGCGUGUGUGUGGCGAAGCGGGAAGCGGCUGGGAGAAAUAUUGCCUGGAGGCAAUAGGGAGGCACUGGGAGUGUAUGCAAGACGACACCAGGCCCUACCAUAAGCUCCAUGAAAAUGAUGAGAAUGACUUCCAAGGCUGUGAGUUGUGGCUGAUGAGAGAAGCUAAGAAGAGCAAUCUCAAAACUAAUUGAUGGAGCCGCAUGGAACAUAGAUUUGGAUGCAUCUUUAGUCAGGUGCAGGGACAUGUAAUGCUCCUCUUAGGUGUUGUGCUGACAGGAGCAACAGAAAACAGUAGACAGCUUUUGCUUCUGGAAGAACAGGAUGAAAUGAUGAGUAAUGGCUGUAGAUUCAAGGAACAUGUCUACCUUGUUCAGACCAGGUAAAUGCCUUGUUUUCUCCCCCAGCAUUGUUUCACAGCCCAUGUCACACUGUGUUUAGUAACAGAGCCUCAUAAAACUUUGGUGUGAUAAUUCUGUGUCAUGUAUGGGAUUUUUCCUCUUCCCUUCUAUCUCAGCCCUCAGAAGGAUGCUGUCUGCCCCAGUCUGUGCAGAGCUCCACAAUAUGAGCCAGGGGCACAAGCAUGCAUGUGUGUGCCUGACAACUGCAGGGAGCAUGCAUGAGCACAGCAGGGAUUCAAGCAGAGGAAAUCCAUGUGCAGGACUGCAGUCAGUGCUGGUGGUGAGGCUGCUGGGAGCAGGGCUGGGGGCAGAUCCACCCCCAGCCCUGACACCUCUCACUGCCCUGCUACUGUGGUAUCACAGUGCUCUGGGCAAAUGAAUCUGCUGCUUUGUACUAUAGACUCCCCAUCUGCUAGUACAGGGAUAGUGACUUGAUAAAAUGCUGCAUAAUAGGUUACCAUGUUUUCAUAGUCUGAAUGAAAUCAUUAUUUGUGGGAGACGGAUUGCGUUGGCAAAUUCCAUUGAGAAUUGAUUCCUGUGUUUGGCAUUUUCCUGGUCUCAGCAUAGCAAUUCUUUUCGUGAUACAUCUCAGCACUUCUGAGCAUCUACCUUAGCAAUUAAUACUGAGUAUUAAUGGGAAAUCACUGUGAAGUGUCCCUCUCUUUAAAGCUCUUUGCGUGGUUCUGCUGACCUUUCUUGGGUGCUUAAAAAAAAAAGUGCAUACAGAAUAGACAUGCAUUUGCAACCUGCAUUGAAUUGUGUGUGGUAGAGAGCGCUCGUUGCCACAUUGUGCUGGUGCUGUGUCAUUGCUGCAUGCAGAGACAGGUUGUGAAUUUGUAGAGAACUUGCUUUUGUGCACUAACUGUGCACAGUGAUUCAAAGGGAGCGGAGGAGCUGUGUUUUGAAGCUGGUACUUGGCACAAGCUGAACUACAACAGUGCAGUUAUUGUGUGGAAACAUGAAAUUAUUUCCUGUUGCCAGGACUUGUGGUGCAGGAACACACAUGGGCAUGUGUGUGGAUAUAGUAGUGCUCUUGGGAGAGGGAGGAGAGGAUGAAAGUGAACAUCUCACAUCUCUUAAAAUGGCACAUGCUUGGGCACAACUUGGAGCCUCUGGAUCCCCUGGGCAGCAGCUCCAUAAAGUCUGUCUGCAGUGCUGCAUCUUCCUUGUUCAUGGCACAGACCUCACCAUGCUGUCCCCAGAUAAAUUCUCUUUCUGCAUUAUAUUCUGAGAGAUGUCCCCGCAAAGCAUCUGAGGGGCUGACAGCAGUGUCAGACCUACCAUAGCACAGCUGGGCGUGCUCCGGCCAUGGCACUGCCCAUACUUUGCAUACAAUGAACUGCUACUUGCAAUUCCUGGGGCUUGCUCCUGCACAUACACAUCCUGCAGGUUCCUACAGACACCUGAGGGUAUCGAGCCUUCAAUUUCCUAAAUCCCUUGAAAAAUCUAAACUAAAACGAAAGCAUGGGGAGUUGGCCUUCUCACUAAAGAGGAUGGGUACAAAUCCAGUCAUCUUUGCAUUUAGUAAUCCUUCUCACUAUAUAAGAUUUCUCCACACCCCACAUUCGAGAUUCAUCAUGUAUUAAGCAUGUUCAUGUCUUCAAGUCCUUGUGGAUCUUUGUCACCAGGAGCCUGCACUUCCUUUGUUGUUUGCAAGACGGAGUUACUCAGUUUGCUUAUAGUACUUACAGACUUAGUACAGUUGAAAUAUACAGGCGUCCUUCCUUUCUGCCCCAAAGGAGCUGGGUUGCUCUGAAUUUGAUUUGUGUGGAUUGUGCUCCUUCAUGGGACUGAGUGAUUUCAACACAGGAUUUCCUGGGAUUACCCUCUUGCCCCUGACUCUUGUCCCUGCCUUUUUCUGCACUGCUUGGUUAUCUGAACAGUGUUUGCAGGCCACUAAAAGAAAUCCCCGCAUUCCAGAAAAUACAGACAACAAAAGAGACAGGCAGAAAAGUGGCACUAAUACUUUGACAUUGGUGGGAAUCUCAACAGAAAGCACUGUGCUAAAGGUUAAGGGAUCAUCACUAUCAAGAAAAAAGUCAUAGUAUGGAAGAUUUAGCUGUAGUGUGCUGACUAGAAGAAAAAAAAGAACUCUUACCUUGUAGCUUUUUCUUUCUGUCUCUCUUAAUGGAUAUCACAGAAUCACAGAAUUGUAGGGAUUGGAAGGGACCUCCAGAGAUCAUCGAGUCCAACCCCCUGCCAAAGCAGUUCCCUACACCAGGUCACACAGGUAGGUGUCCAGGCAGAUCUUGAACGUCUCCAGAGAAGGAGACUCCACAGCCCCCCUGGGCAGCCUGUUCCAGUGCUCCGUCACCUCACCUAAAGAAGUUCUUGUGCUCAAUUGCAGAUCCUGAAGGUGAUGGUUUUGUGACUGCAAUUAUGGAGUUGGCUUUUUAACGGCAGUUGCACCCUGCUAACGUGCAUCUCUUUGUGACACAGGCAGAAGACGGGCAGCAGUACUGCAGCUCCUCUGGCAGCUUUGCAGCUAGGUCAGGAAGCAGAAGAUGUGGAUUUGAAAGAAGAAGUCAGUUCCUGGGACGUUCCCCUGUUCUUCCCCUUGCUGUCCCCUUGCCGCAGCCUGGAUUCCCCUUGCAUUCCUAUACGUGUCCCUUCUAUCGCCCAGACUGCUCCUUGCUUUCCCCAAGGUCACCCUUUACCUUCCCAUGACAGCCCACCCAUAAUUACCUCAGAGCCCCAAUAGCUCCCUCAGUAUUUCCUCAGCAAGACCCCAUCGGCACCCCACAGCUCCUUAUUGGCCUUCUCAGACCUGGUACUCCUCCCCCAUAGCUGGCCAAAAACCACACAGACCUCCACAGCAGCACCCCACGUUCCCCACUGGACUCUCACUGAACCCCCUUAUUUCCUCUCUCAGACCUCCCUUACCACCUCAAGGGCUCCUUAGCGACCUCACAGACACCCACAGUCCCUGACAGGACGCCUGUCAUCAAUUCCAGGCCACCUCCUCACCCCCUUUUCCUUCCAGAUCCCAUACAACCAUACGGUGCUGGGGCUGGGGUGACUGCUGUGGAGCUGAAGCAGGUGUAGGACACAGAUGUGGGUGAAAGUGUGGGGGGCACUGGGGAUAUGGAGGCACAGGAG